UAAUUUGUCCCCUGAGCACUCCUAUUGUAGUUGACUUACUCAGUCUCUAAACCUACUACAUCAGCAGCUUGCAGAAGCCCUUUCCUAACACAUACACCCACACAGCCCAAAGAAAAUAGAAGAAGAAAUGAAUCCAUUCUUCACCAUUUUCUUGUUCCUUGUCCCCAUCUUCCUUCUUAUUGUCAAGGGAAGAAAAUCAUCCACCAAACUACCUCCAGGUUCACUGGGGAUUCCCAUAAUAGGCCAUAGCCUGCAGCUUCUCAAAGCAAUGAGAACCAAUACUGCAGAAAAAUGGCUUCACGAAAGGAUACAAAAAUAUGGCUCAAUAUCAAAGCUGACCCUCUUUGGCAAACCAACUGUUUUCAUAUAUGGAAAUGAAGCAAAUAAGUUUGUAUUCACCAGCGAUAGUAGCACGAUCUCCUACAGUCAAACAACGUCUCUGAAGAUGAUUUUGGGAGAUCGAUGUAUAGCAGAACUCUGCGGACAAGAUCACAAGCGCAUCAGGGAUGCACUCCUAUCAUUUCUAAAACCUGAAUCAUUGAAAAACUAUGUGGGGAAAAUGGAUGAGGAAGUAAGGAUGCAUAUGGAGACUCAUUGGAAAGGAAAACAAGAGAUCACUGUCUUACCCUUAAUGAAGAAGCUAUCGUUCGAUGUCAUUUGCUCCCUUCUAUUUGGAAUCGAGCAAGGAGGAACUCGAAGAGAUAAGCUUGUGACUUGGUUCCAACAAAUGAUAGGAGGAAUAUGGUCAGUCCCCAUUAACUUGCCAUUCACACGCUUCAAUCUCGGCCUUCGUGCAAGUGCAAGGGUUCGAAACUUUUUGAAGGAUCUCAUAGCUGAAAAAAGGAUGGAGCUGAAAAAGGGUGCUGAUCCUCACCAGGACCUCAUCACUUGCUUGCUUAGCACCCGUGAUGAAAACAAUGGAGAAGGGAUGACCGAGAAGGAGAUUGUGGAUAAUGUUAUUCUUGUUUUGACUGCAGGACAUGACACUUCAGCUAUUCUGAUAACUUUCAUGAUCCGGCUUUUAGCUAUUGAACCUUCAAUCUACGCAGCUGUUCUUGGAGAACAAGAAGGGAUAGCUAAAAGCAAGCCCAGGGGAGAGUUGUUAACUUGGGAGGACCUUGCCAAGAUGAAGUACACAUGGAAAGUAGCACUGGAAACUUUGAGAAUGUUCCCUCCAAUCUUUGGUGGCUUCAGGAAAGCUGUUAAGGAUAUAGAAUACAACGGAUACAUCAUUCCUGAAGGGUGGCAAAUAUUCUGGACAAUGAAUAUGACUCACAUGGAUGACAGCAUAUUCACCGAACCAUCAAAGUUUGAUCCGACCAGAUUCGACAACCAAGCUUCAAUCCCACCUUACAGCUUUAUUGCAUUCGGAGGAGGGCCUCGGAUGUGUCCAGGAUAUGAAUUUGCAAAAAUCGAAGCCCUUGUUACAAUCCAUUAUCUGGUCACUCAAUUUACAUGGAAGUUAUGUGCAGAUACUAGUUUCAGUAGGAAUCCAAGGCUCAUGCCAUCGGAAGGGUUACCAAUCAAAAUCAUACCAAAGAAAUAAAAUGAAAGCUGUAUUUUCUCCCCCUCACUGCAACCCUAAUUCAGAAAAAUAAAUUGCAGUAUGAUGGAAGGGGUGUGGUCAAUCCCCUUCACAAGCUAUAACCGUAGCCUUCAGGCAAGUGCAAGGAUUCGAGAUACGGGGAAGGAUCUCAUAGGUGAAAAGAGGGUUGGAACUUGCACAGAAGAGUUCCGAUCCACGCCAAGAUCUCAUCAGUUGCAUGCUUAGCACCCGUGAU
This is an RNA transcript of Populus euphratica (Euphrates poplar), 1781 nucleotides long. It is a transcript of the gene named cytochrome P450 716B1-like, with no coding region annotated. The transcript is spliced from 5 exons. Lineage: Eukaryota; Viridiplantae; Streptophyta; Magnoliopsida; Malpighiales; Salicaceae. The record is from RefSeq and is a predicted model, not a curated record.